RNAcentral lists this long non-coding RNA (320 nucleotides) under Homo sapiens (human). RNAcentral describes it as "long non-coding RNA NONHSAT209434.1". Lineage: Eukaryota; Metazoa; Chordata; Mammalia; Primates; Hominidae. The record is from RNAcentral.
UCAAGAGGGUAGAUGUUAGAACAAAGUGCUGCUUAACAAGUUGGUCCUUGCAGCAGGUGCUGACUUUUCUAGAAUAUUUGGGUUGAGGAAAGAGAGUGGUGCCAGGGAGAGGGAAUCAAUCAGUACUCCAGGGACUAGGAAUAUGUCAUUUUAGUGCUGAAGUAAGUGGGUCAGAGGGACAUGCCUGAGAGGAUGGAAGCCUCAGACCCAGAAGAAGUCAGAAACCCAAUGGUCCUGUCUCCCAGCUCUACCCCAAAUAGAAUAUCAUAGCCAGAGAAGCAAGGCUUUAUCUAUGACCAGAGAUUGAAAGGUGAGGCAAU